GAUGAACGCUGGCGGCGUGCCUAAUACAUGCAAGUCGAGCGAACGGACGAGAAGCUUGCUUCUCUGAUGUUAGCGGCGGACGGGUGAGUAACACGUGUAUAACCUACCUAUAAGACUGGUAUAACUUCGGGAAACCGGAGCUAAUACCGGAUGAUCUUUUGAACCGCAUGGUUGAAAAGUGAAAGACGGUCUUGCUGUCACUUAUAGAUGGAUCCGCGCUGCUUUAGCUAGUUGGUAAGGUAACGGCUUACCACGGCAACGAUGCAUAGCCGACCUGAGAGGGGGGUAGGCCACACUGGAAGUGAGACGCGGUCCAGACUCCUACGGGAGGCAGCAGUAGGGAAUCUGACGCAGAGGGCGGAAGCAUGACGGAGCGACGCCGCGUGAGAUAUGAAGGUCUUCGGAUCGUAAAACUCUGUUAUGGGGGAAGAACAGAUGUGUAAGGAACUGUACACAUCUUGACGGUACCUAAUCAGGAAGCCACGGCUAACUACGUG
This 497-nucleotide ribosomal RNA is filed under the name uncultured bacterium. Its description in RNAcentral is "partial 16S ribosomal RNA". It matches the Rfam family "Bacterial small subunit ribosomal RNA", at positions 28 to 507 of the family's 1533-position model. The record is from RNAcentral.